CGUAUGUUAGUUGAUCGCUCUAUAAUGCAGUCGAGCGAUCGAUGGGAGCUUGCUCCCUGAGAUUAGCGGCGGACGGGUGAGUAACACGUGGGCAACCUGCCUAUAAGACUGGGAUAACUUCGGGAAACCGGAGCUAAUACCGGAUACGUUCUUUUCUCGCAUGAGAGAAGAUGGAAAGACGGUUUACGCUGUCACUUAUAGAUGGGCCCGCGGCGCAUUAGCUAGUUGGUGAGGUAAUGGCUCACCAAGGCGACGAUGCGUAGCCGACCUGAGAGGGUGAUCGGCCACACUGGGACUGAGACACGGCCCAGACUCCUACGGGAGGCAGCAGUAGGGAAUCUUCCGCAAUGGACGAAAGUCUGACGGAGCAACGCCGCGUGAACGAAGAAGGCCUUCGGGUCGUAAAGUUCUGUUGUUAGGGAAGAACAAGUACCAGAGUAACUGCUGGUACCUUGACGGUACCUAACCAGAAAGCCACGGCUAACUACGUGCCAGCAGCCGCGGUAAUACGUAGGUGGCAAGCGUUGUCCGGAAUUAUUGGGCGUAAAGCGCGCGCAGGUGGUUCCUUAAGUCUGAUGUGAAAGCCCACGGCUCAACCGUGGAGGGUCAUUGGAAACUGGGGAACUUGAGUGCAGAAGAGGAAAGUGGAAUUCCAAGUGUAGCGGUGAAAUGCGUAGAGAUUUGGAGGAACACCAGUGGCGAAAGCGACUUUCUGGUCUGUAACUGACACUGAGGCGCGAAAGCGUGGGGAGCAAACAAGGAUUAGAUACCCUGGUAGUCCACGCCGUAAACGAUGAGUGCUAAGUGUUAGAGGGUUUUCCGCCCUUUAGUGCUGCAGCUAACGCAUUUAAGCACCUCCCGCCCUGGGGGAGUAACGGCUC
Molecule: ribosomal RNA, 881 nt
Filed under: Peribacillus simplex
Lineage: Bacteria; Bacillati; Bacillota; Bacilli; Caryophanales; Bacillaceae
Description: bacterial SSU rRNA
Rfam family: Bacterial small subunit ribosomal RNA
Source: RNAcentral